UUGUGGAGGAGGACGCCGAAGGUGGGGCUAAUGACUGGGGUGAAGUCGUAACAAGGUAGCCGUACCGGAAGGUGCGGCUGGAUCACCUCCUAACAGGGAGACAACAAAAUGUUAAAUAUUAAUUUUGUCACCUUAGGUCGAUCGGUAUCUCACAUCCUUGAUUUAUUAAGGAUUUUAUUUCCUAAGUUUUUUCUAGGUCACACCCAUUACUUUUCCUGGGCCAUUAGCUCAGGUGGUUAGAGCGCACCCCUGAUAAGGGUGAGGUCCCUGGUUCAAGUCCAGGAUGGCCCAUAUCUCUAUGUUGGGGGUAUAGCUCAGUUGGUAGAGCGCCUGCUUUGCAAGCAGGAUGUCAGCGGUUCGAGUCCGCUUACCUCCACUGAUUACCACCUCUUCCAUAAAUUACAGAAGGGAAAUGUUUUGAGUUGUGAUCAAAUUCUGAACGAAUCUAGCUUCCUAAUCAAACUUAUUAAGAUGCUGGACUCAUUGAAUUAAUUUCAUUGUUUUCAGAGAACCUUGACAACUGCAUAGAUUAUUUUAAAGACAAUAAGCAUCUUAAAUGAUGCAGAUUUAUUAUUUGUGCGAAUGCAUUAAUAACAAUUCUAUUAAGCUGAUGCUUCAAAUUUGAAGUUAUUGGUCAAGCUACAA
This 645-nucleotide unclassified non-coding RNA is filed under the name uncultured Prochlorococcus sp. RNAcentral's name for it is "partial 16S-23S ribosomal RNA intergenic spacer; may also contain 16S ribosomal RNA and 23S ribosomal RNA". The stretch from base 304 to 376 matches the Rfam family "tRNA". Lineage: Bacteria; Bacillati; Cyanobacteriota; Cyanophyceae; Synechococcales; Prochlorococcaceae. The record is from RNAcentral.